RNAcentral lists this ribosomal RNA (497 nucleotides) under uncultured bacterium. RNAcentral describes it as "partial 16S ribosomal RNA". It matches the Rfam family "Bacterial small subunit ribosomal RNA", at positions 28 to 507 of the family's 1533-position model. The record is from RNAcentral.
GAUGAACGCUGGCGGCGUGCCUAAUACAUGCAAGUCGAGCUAACAGUUGAGUAGCUUGCUCCUCUGACGUUUGCGGCGUACUGGUGAGUAACACGUGGAUAACCUACCUCUAAGACUGGGAUAACUUCGGGAAACCGUAGCUAAUACCGGUUUAUAUAUUGAUUCUCAUGGUUCAAUUGUUAACGACGGUUUUGCUUUCUCUUUUCGAUGGUUCCGUGCCGCUUUACCUUGUUGUUAAGGUAAAGGCUUUCCAAGGCAACCAUGCGUAGCCGAACUGAUAGGGUGAUGGGAAACAAUGGAACUUAGAAACGGUACAGACACCAAAGGGAGGCAGGAGUAGGGUAUCUUCCGCAAUAGGGAAAAGCAUGACGGAGAAACGACGCGUGAGUGACAAGAGUCUACGGAUCGUAAAACACUGUUAUUAGGGAAGAACAAAUGUGUAAGUAACUAUGCACGUAUUGACGGUACCUAAUCAGAAAGCCACGACUAACUACGUG